AUUGAACGCUGGCGGCAUGCUUUACACAUGCAAGUCGAGCGGUAACAGGCCUUCGGGUGCUGACGAGUGGCGAACGGGUGAGUAAUGCAUCGGAACGUACCCAGAGGUGGGGGAUAACGCAGCGAAAGCUGUGCUAAUACCGCAUGUGAUCUGAGGAUGAAAGCGGGGGACCGAGCAGCAAUGUUUGGCCUCGCGCCUUUGGAGCGGCCGAUGUCGGGUUAGCUGGUUGGUGGGGUAAAGGCCUACCAAGGCGACGAUCCGUAGCUGGUCUGAGAGGACGACCAGCCACACUGGGAGUGAGACACGGCCGAGAAUCCUACGGGAGGCAGCAGUGGUGAAGUUUGGAGCAUGGGCGCAAGCCUGAUCCAGCAAUGCCGCGUGCGGGAAGAAGGCCUUCGGGGUGUAAUCAGCUUCUGGCAGGAACGAAACGGUGUCGGCUAAUACCGGGCGCUAAUGACGGUACCUGCAGAAUAAGCACCGGCUAACUACGUG
RNAcentral lists this ribosomal RNA (492 nucleotides) under uncultured bacterium. RNAcentral's name for it is "partial 16S ribosomal RNA". It matches the Rfam family "Bacterial small subunit ribosomal RNA", at positions 29 to 507 of the family's 1533-position model. The record is from RNAcentral.